Molecule: RNA transcript, 2437 nt
Organism: Brassica rapa (field mustard)
Lineage: Eukaryota; Viridiplantae; Streptophyta; Magnoliopsida; Brassicales; Brassicaceae
Gene name: ankyrin repeat protein SKIP35
Source: RefSeq, a predicted model, not a curated record
AAAAAAAACAAGAACCCGAUGCACACAAGAGGGGUUCUUCUCAGCCUCUCUUUCUCCUCUCUCUCUCUCUCUCUCUCUCUCUCUCUCUCUCUAAUGGAACAAAUCUUGUCCAGGGCUUCUUGUUAAUUUCGUAUGCCAUGGUCAAGACUCGGUGAAGGUUUUGGUUCUGUAGAUUUCGAACAUGUUGAGAUCCGUUUUGCUAUCUUGAUCUAUCUGGAAGAGCAUAUAAAAGCUGAGACCUCUUUGUUCUUGUGUAAGCUCUCUGGUUCACAGAUGAAGAGAAGUUUUGUUUGGUUCUUUAUGUGUGUGAACUUGUGAAUACACAUCUCGAGAAGAAGAAGAAUGGAGAAAGAAGCAGUGUUUGAUGAUAUAAAGUUAAGUGAUGAUGAGAUAUACUACCCUGAUGAGCCUUACUGCUCUGAGAAGAACGAAGAAGGCGAGGGUGCGAGUAAUGUGGUUUUUUCAAGAGAGGCGCCUCUGAUAGGAAAGGAUCCAGCUGGCACUAAUUCAAAUGAAUGUUGUGGUUGCAGUGCAAAGAAACUAAACUUCAAAGGCAGCGAGGAUCUCAUCGACAAGGAAAAUAAUUCUCCGCAGAAAAAGCUUAGUAGACAGGAAAGAAUCGAACUGGGGCGAGUCUUCCAAGGCGCUGUGACCUCAAUGGACUGGGAACAUGCCGAGAGGUUGAUUCAGUUAGCUGAUCCGCAGACUUUGAAUGAUCUGCUGUGCGUUGGUCUAGAUUCUGUUUGGUUCUUGACUACAAAGCAUGAGUUUCAGGGGGUUACUGGAUUGAUUAAGGAGAUCGUAUGUCAUGGUGCUCAUGACUUUACAAGAGCUACUCUUAGGACUUCGUUUCUCGCUUCAUGUGUCUCUGCUUGCCAUAGCCGGACGAUGAGUCUUGCUGAUAGUGUUACUGUAAUGGCUCAAAGUUUGCAGGAGCGUCUCCAAGAGUGUAACGGGGACGAGAUUCUGAAAGCAGAAGCUGGUGCAAAAGUUCAGAAGUUCACCGAAUGGGCUCUCAAAUGCAUAGGUUUCCACUCCCGAUGCCAAGGAGCAAGAGAUAGAGUUAGCCACAGUUCAGCUACCGAGAUUGAACUACAGCUUUCUGCUUUCAAGAUGUUUCUAGAACUAGCAGGGAACCAUCUCUCGGGAAGGGACUUCACUGAGGCUUUUGAUGCAGCUUGUUUCCCUCUCACUUUGUUCUCCAACUCCUUUGAUCCUGGUUGGGCGUCUGGCAUAUCAGCUACUGUCAUACAAGGACUCCUCGGUAUGCUUGUUGAAGGUGGUGCAGAUAACGUGAACCAAUGUUUCCUUGAAGCUUCACGGUUUGGUAGUACAGAACUUGUCCGCGUCUUGUUGCAUAUUGCUCAAAGGAACAGCUUAGAUGUGGAUGUGGACUUAGCUCUUGGUUUCGCCUCGCAUUACUGUAAACUCGGAACAAUGAAGUGCUUAGUGGAAGAAGGCAACGCCAUUGCCUUCUUAGGUCCUCUGAUGAGAGCGGCAGAGAGAGGCUGUAUGCAAGUUGUUCAGUGGUUUGUGAAAAGAGGUUGCCGAGACAUGGAGCUUUGUCUUGCUCUAACAGCCGCCACUUCGAGUAGCCAAGUCGAGGUCGCUGCUUAUCUCCUCCCUUUUGUUCCUUCACCUGUCUUAACAGCUCUAAGCAUCGAGAUCCUCAAAGCAGCUGGAGAAAGAAGCGGAGGGUCUCUCCAAGGAGUGGAGUUUCUCCUCAAAUCAGACUUCUUGGGAGAUCCAACGGCUACAUACUCAGUUGCAGACAGCAUAGCGAAGUCUUCAGAAGAUGAAACCGUUCCUUCAGAUCUUAAAUCGUUUCUCAGAGAGCAUUGGUCGGAGUCAGCUUUUGAGAAAGGAAUGAGAGAGAGCCAUGAGAAUUUCAUUAAUUUUAUGAGGGUAUUGAAGAGAGGAGAGUGUGCUAUCUCUUUAAGAGACCUUCCUGCGCCGCUAAGAGUAGCGAUUGCUUACAUGCCGCUGUAUAGAGAGUGUGUGAAUGCAGGUGGGCGGUUGCUGUCUCAGAGGCUGAGAGGACAGCUCGUUGAAGCUGUGAGACAGCUCCAAGGAUGUGAUGUUCCUGUUGUGGAAGUAAGCGAGACUCCUCACCUUAUGGCGGUUUUGGAGCAUCACCUUACGGCCAUUUUCUGUUAAAACCAUGAAAGAAGCAGGGAGACAGAGUUAACACAAGCCUCUCAGCAAAAUGGAUCUGCUUUGGACACAUUUUCUAUGGAUAGUUGGAAAAAUUAAGAAUGGAGAGAAAUAAAAGAGUAUGAUUUAAGGAAUGGGGUUUGAUAUGAUGCAUGUUUUUUUUUUUUUGUAUAUUUUUGUUCUUCCUAUAUAUAUUUUCAUAACUGAUGUAAUUUCUAACUUACGUUUGUAUCAUGAGAUCGUAUUAAUUUGAUUCUGAAACGAAAAACAAAGCUUUACAUUA